This 507-nucleotide ribosomal RNA is filed under the name uncultured bacterium. RNAcentral describes it as "bacterial SSU rRNA". It matches the Rfam family "Bacterial small subunit ribosomal RNA", at positions 28 to 536 of the family's 1533-position model. The record is from RNAcentral.
GAUGAACGCUAGCUACAGGCUUAACACAUGCAAGUCGAGGGGUAGCAGGGUAGCAAUACCGCUGACGACCGGCGCACGGGUGAGUAACACGUAUCCAACCUUCCCAUAACUCUGGGAUAGCCUUUCGAAAGAAAGAUUAAUACCGGAUGGUACUUUUUCAAGGCAUCUUGAUAAAGUUAAAGAUUUAUUGGUUAUGGAUGGGGAUGCGUUCCAUUAGAUAGUUGGUGAGGUAACGGCUCACCAAGUCUUCGAUGGAUAGGGGUUCUGAGAGGACGGUCCCCCACAUUGGUACUGAGACACGGACCAAACUCCUACGGGAGGCAGCAGUGAGGAAUAUUGGUCAAUGGGCGAGAGCCUGAACCAGCCAAGUAGCGUGAAGGAUGAAGGUCCUAUGGAUUGUAAACUUCUUUUAUAGUAGAAUAAAGUGAUCCACGUGUGGAUUUUUGUAUGUAUACUAUGAAUAAGGAUCGGCUAACUCCGUGCCAGCAGCCGCGGUAAAAGUACUCU